Molecule: ribosomal RNA, 585 nt
Filed under: Sporisorium nealii
Lineage: Eukaryota; Fungi; Basidiomycota; Ustilaginomycetes; Ustilaginales; Ustilaginaceae
Description: LSU rRNA
Rfam family: Eukaryotic large subunit ribosomal RNA
Source: RNAcentral
CGGCGAGUGAAGAGGGAAGAGCCCAAGAUUGAAAGCUGGCGCCUUCGGCGUCCGCAUUGUAAUCUCAAGAAGUGUUUUCCGCUUCGGACCAUGCCUAAGUCCCUUGGAAAAGGGCAUCAUAGAGGGUGAUAAUCCCGUACAUGGCAUGGAGCGCCCGAAGCUUUGUGAUACGCUUUCUAAGAGUCGAGUUGUUUGGGAAUGCAGCUCAAAAUGGGUGGUAAAUGCCAUCUAAGGCUAAAUAUUGGGGAGAGACCGAUAGCGAACAAGUACAGUGAUGGAAAGAUGAAAAGAACUUUGAAAAGAGAGUUAAACAGUACGUGAAAUUGCCAAAAGGGAAGGGUAGGAGGUCAGAGAUGCGUCUUGGGAUUCAGCCUUGCUUCUGCUUGGUGUUUUUCCCAGGUUUGCAGGCCAACGUCGGUUUUGGGCACUGGAGAAGGGUGGAAGGAACGUGGCACCUCUCGGGGUGUGUUAUAGCCUUCUACUGGAUACAGCGACCGGGACCGAGGACAGCAGCGUACUCGCAAGAGCGGGCCUUUUUGGCACCUUUACGCUUAGGACGUUGGCAUAAUGGCCCUCUACCACCCG